Molecule: ribosomal RNA, 227 nt
Filed under: uncultured bacterium
Lineage: Bacteria
Description: partial 16S ribosomal RNA
Rfam family: Bacterial small subunit ribosomal RNA
Source: RNAcentral
GACGAACGCUGGCGGCGCGCCUCAUACAUGCAAGUCGAACGUGAAGCCCGGAGCUUGCUCUGGGUGGAAAGUGGCGAACGGGUGAGGAACACGUGAGGAACCUGCCCUGGAGACCGGGAUAACACCGGGAAACCGGUGCUAAUACCGGAUGCCCUCACCGGAUCACAUGAUCCGGUGAGGAAAUGGAUUCCGCUCCAGGAUGGCCUCGCGGCCUAUCAGCUUGUUGG